UAAAAGUCGUAACAAGGUCUCCGUUGGUGAACCAACGGAGGGAUCAUUA
RNAcentral lists this ribosomal RNA (49 nucleotides) under Fusarium verticillioides. RNAcentral describes it as "partial 18S ribosomal RNA". It matches the Rfam family "Eukaryotic small subunit ribosomal RNA", at positions 1783 to 1831 of the family's 1831-position model. The record is from RNAcentral. Lineage: Eukaryota; Fungi; Ascomycota; Sordariomycetes; Hypocreales; Nectriaceae.